RNAcentral lists this ribosomal RNA (274 nucleotides) under uncultured bacterium. RNAcentral describes it as "partial 16S ribosomal RNA". It matches the Rfam family "Bacterial small subunit ribosomal RNA", at positions 523 to 796 of the family's 1533-position model. The record is from RNAcentral.
AUACGGAGGGUGCAAGCGUUACUCGGAAUCACUGGGCGUAAAGCGCGCGCAGGCGGGCUGAUAAGUUGGAUGUGAAAGCCUACGGCUCAACCGUAGAACUGCAUCCAAAACUGUCAGUCUAGAGUGUGGGAGAGGAUGAUGGAAUUAGUUGUGUAGGGGUAAAAUCCGUAGAGAUAACUAGGAAUACCAAAAGCGAAGGCAAUCUUCUGGAACACUACUGACGCUGAGGCGCGAAGGCGUGGGGAGCAAACGGGAUUAGAAACCCCGGUAGUCC